UCUUGGUCAUUUAGAGGAAGUAAAAGUCGUAACAAGGUUUCCGUAGGUGAACCUGCGGAAGGAUCAUUAUCGUAACAAACGGGGGCGCGCCAGCUCUGCUCCGGCUCAAUCGGCCGUGAGCGGGUGACCGCGUCUUCUGUCCACACAAACCCCUGUGCACCUUUCGGCGAAGGUGGGCGCGAGCCCGUCUGACCCGCAUCACAAACUCAGUAUUAAGAAUGUAACGCAGACUCAGUCUGUCUAAACAAAUAACAACUUUCAACAACGGAUCUCUUGGCUCUCGCAUCGAUGAAGAACGCAGCGAAAUGCGAUAAGUAAUGUGAAUUGCAGAAUUCAGUGAAUCAUCGAAUCUUUGAACGCACCUUGCGCUCCUUGGUAUUCCGAGGAGCAUGCCUGUUUGAGUGUCUUGAAAUCAUCAACCCCUUCGGUUUUGCGACUGAUGCGGGUUGGACUUGGGGGUUUGCUGCUGAAAGGCGGCUCCCCUUAAAUGUUUCGGUUGGGCCUGUAGGUCGACUUUGAUUGGGCGUUGUAUUAUCCUCGCUCCUGAAAGUCUCCUCUUUUGUGCCCUUCCACGACCUGCCUAUGGAGUGGCGGUCAAACUCUUCUGACAUCUGACCUCAAAUCAGGUAGGACUACCCGCUGAACUUAAGCAUAUCAAUAAGCGGAGG
RNAcentral lists this ribosomal RNA (668 nucleotides) under uncultured Basidiomycota. Its description in RNAcentral is "eukaryotic LSU rRNA". The stretch from base 254 to 407 matches the Rfam family "5.8S ribosomal RNA". Lineage: Eukaryota; Fungi; Basidiomycota. The record is from RNAcentral.